Long non-coding RNA from Sycon ciliatum, 1066 nucleotides. RefSeq lists it as uncharacterized. The record is from RefSeq and is a predicted model, not a curated record. NCBI's taxonomy places the organism in Eukaryota, Metazoa, Porifera, Calcarea, Leucosolenida, Sycettidae. The transcript has 2 exons.
GGCAACCUCACUCGCGAUCGAGCUAGUUUUUGAACGUGACAGCAUCUUUGACAGUGUGUUUCAGGUUUGUUUUGGAAUGUCUUCUGCUUAGUUCAAGUAGUUUGCGAUGGCUUUGAGCGGUGCUGAACCUCCUGCUGGUAGGAGCAGAGUCUCCGAGAGAGACAUGGACUGUGAUGCAGCUGCAGGAUUUUUUCAAGGCGCGGGAGGGAACGAUCUCGGGCCACAAACAGGAGUAACUCCAGAGAGCCAUCUUCUAUGAAGGUAACCGUGGUGCUGCCAAGUCACCAAGUCGCGAUCGCGAUCAGCAGCCCUGAAGUGGAAAAAUCGAUUUUCCAACGAUCUGGUUGGACAUCAGCCACUAAAGUACUUCUGAUUUGCCUGUAGUGACAACAGCAGCCAUCCUUGGACACCUUGCAAAGACAGGAAACGCCACUUGUGGAAGCGACUGCUAUGAGGUGACGAUAGCAGUGGUGAUCGCUAUUUUGUCAAGUCGAAGGGCUAGCCAACCCAGAGGAAGCAUUAAAAAAACGAUGAGCAGUGCGUGGUGUUUGUUGAGCGUGAAGAGCUAGAGGAGGACAGUGCUUACACAUGGAAGGAGUGGAUGGUGUUUGAAGAACAGUGUGCUGUGUGCCGGCUGGUGGUUUUUGUCAGCAUGUAUUCGUGCUGCUUCUUGUGCUGGAACACUUCUCGCCCAGGAAGGCAGAUUGCGUGCUCCCUGGCCCUCAGUCGGCAAUGGGGCAUUUAUUCCAGGAACAUUACCCCGGAGCCAGUGAUGAGUCGUACCUUUGAAAAGUCGAAUCUUGCUGUUAAUCGCAAGCGUAGCGCAGUGGAUUGCUCCCUCUUCGAAGCACGAGGGUCAAAGCUUGCCGCUGUCUGCAACGAAGUGUGUGUGCGGUUCUUUCGAACCUAUGAAUAUACCCCUCCCCUCUCUCUCUUAGGAAGACUGCAUGUUCAGAGUGAACUAUUUUCUAGUAUAUUUGAUGUGAGACGGGCUGUUUACGCCCAAGAUGAAGAUACAGUUUUUUUCUGUUUCUAUACGUUCCUAAUAAAAUACAUUGUGACAGAG